This 351-nucleotide ribosomal RNA is filed under the name Melanophthalma sp. 1 NPL-2007. RNAcentral's name for it is "partial 12S ribosomal RNA". Lineage: Eukaryota; Metazoa; Arthropoda; Insecta; Coleoptera; Latridiidae. The record is from RNAcentral.
UAUAAAUGUAAUAAAUUUUCUAAAUUAUUAAUAGUUAUAUUCUUUAAAAUUUAAGAUUUUGGCGGUAUUUUAGUCUUUUCAGAGGAACCUGUUCUGUAAUUGAUAAUCCACGUUUUAAUGUACUUUAUUUUAAAAAUUUAUAUAUCGUCGUAGUUGAAUAUUUUAAAAGAAAAUAAUAUUCAUAAAUUAUGAUUAUAAAAUAAAUCAGAUCAAGGUGUAGUUUAUAAUUAAGAAGAAAUGGGUUACAAUAAUUUUAAUUAUUACGUUUAUUUAAAUUUAAAUUUGAAUAUAAGGUGGAUUUGAAAGUAAUAUAAUAGAAUUAUUUUAUAUGAUUAUAGCUCUAUAAUAUGU